Molecule: ribosomal RNA, 462 nt
Filed under: uncultured bacterium
Lineage: Bacteria
Description: partial 16S ribosomal RNA
Rfam family: Bacterial small subunit ribosomal RNA
Source: RNAcentral
GACGAACGCUGGCGGCGUGCUUAACACAUGCAAGUCGAACGGAAAGGCCCUUCGGGGUACUCGAGUGGCGAACGGGUGAGUAACACGUGGGUGAUCUGCCCUGCACUUUGGGAUAAGCCUGGGAAACUGGGUCUAAUACCGAAUAGGACCACGCGCGUCGUGUGGUGUGGUGGAAAGCUUUUGCGGUGUGGGAUGGGCCCGCGGCCUAUCAGCUUGUUGGUGGGGUAAUGGCCUACCAAGGCGACGACGGGUAGCCGGCCUGAGAGGGUGACCGGCCACACUGGGACUGAGAUACGGCCCAGACUCCUACGGGAGGCAGAAGUGGGGAAUAUUGCACAAUGGGCGAAAGCCGGAUGCAGCGACGCCGCGUGAGGGAUAACGGCCUUCGGGUUGUAAACCUCUUUCAAUAGGGACGAAGCGCAAGUGACGGUACCUAUAGAAGAAGCACCGGCCAACUACGUG